UGCUUUAUUCUUCAAUCAGAUUCGGAUUUGUGGCCCGCUUCCCAGAUCCUUCACCCACCGUCUUUCUUAUUGCACAUCUUCCCCACCGCCUUCGUGUUCGAACAGUCCAAUUUCCAGCUGAUUUUAUCCCCACACCAAUCGAUCCUUCCAGUUUCUUCCUUCCACCGCUUCUUAUCCAAACCUUCGGUUCUAUUUCGUCUUUCCUCCGCUAUAGAUCAUCGCCACCACCAUCCAAUCCAUCACGUCCACUUUAUCCACAGGUAUCGGUCCACCAUUAGCGUCUUUUACACCCGUUGAUUGUGUACACCCAUCGUCUUCUCAUUUUAUGGAUCAAGCUUUGGCCGCCGCCCACCAGGUAUUUGAUUAAAUGCGUGCAUGGCUUAUUCUAUUUUGUUAUCAUCAUGUUGUGAUAUAGAACCGAUGCUCUCUCUGGAUAAAGAGGUCGUCGUCCCUUCUCCAUCUCCGCCAUGAUCGAGAAGAAGAUGUUUGUGAUUUCUUACAUCCACCGCCAUCUCUAACUUCCGUUGAAUCCAGGUUCCAAUCUUGUCCUCUCUGCUUGUCGCUUUUCUCAUGAUCUCGAAAAAAAAAAAAAAACUCUACUUUAGCCUCCAUGAAUGAUGCGCACGUUGCAGUUUCAAAGCUUCCUGAUGUUUAGUUUAGGUUUGGGUCCCGAAGGCGUUACGCUUCAGUUCCGUCAUCUUCAAAGAUGUUCCCCAUAUCACCACCGUUCAUGGCUAUAAUCGCUACCAGACCCGAAGCCCUUCCGCUCCAGUUUGGAUCUACCUCAGGUCAUCGCCAUAGAACAAACCACCAGGGUUGAAAGCUGUGAGGCAGUGGAGACGAUGAAGCAAGUGGCACUCAGGGUCCCAAGAAAGCUAUAACUUCUCUUAUCUUAUCAGAUGAAUUGAGUUCUAUUAAUUUUUAAUUUGGCAUUUGAUGCUGCUCAACAAACUUUCUAGAGUGGAGGAAGAAGAGGGCUUCACUAUAAUCUAUAUUUCAUAGCAUAUCCAUAUCCAAAAGGCCAACAAGAACCAACAAAGAUAAACACAGAAGACUCAUCGAUUUCAGCAAAAAACAAGAACCAACGAAGAUAAACACAAAUGACUCAUCGAUUUCAGCAAAAAACGAUCUCCUGUUAAACAGACAAAUAAAUGGAAGUUGAAACUAGCUUUUGAUGCACACCAACUGCUCGAUAAAAUGCUUGAAGCAAAUCUUAUUAUUAUUUGUUUUUAAAACCCCAUAAAAAAUUCCACACUUGCUGCUUUGUUGUUGUAUUUCUCUCAGUAGCUAACGUUCCAUCCCAUUUCCUAUAUAUACAAAUGAUUUCAUGCUGUUGAACAACUUCUUGCUGAAAUGCCCGAAUCUAACUUUCAUCUUAGAGUCAUUUCAAGUUCCCCUGAUCUGGAAAGUUUUCAGGAAAGUGAAUCCAUUUUUUUUUACCAUGAUUGUUUAUAUUUAUAAUGGAAAGUAACUACUUAUUUUGUUUAGCAAGUUAAACCCACAGCUUUUUUGUUCCCAGAGUAGAUUACAAUGUUGGAUAAUGAGCUGGAAGAAGAGAAGAAAAAUCAUAAGGAGACCAAGGAAAAGUGCAAAGAUAUUCUACAAGAAUUGCAAAGAUGUCUUUUCGUCCACGGGUCUCCUUGAAAAGAUGCGACACCCAUAGAGUGGAAAACCAUCAUUUAGAAUGUUGGGAUUGAAAGGGAAAAAGGAGACAAAAUCUUUACAACCAUUGGAUACAAAUUCAAAAAGGCGAGCUUUUGGGACGGAUAUAACAAAUAAUGUUAAUGAUUCAGAUUCAAAAACAGACCAGGGCUUAUGGAUGCUGCAACUCCAGAUGCUCUUGAAGCAUGAAAGCCGGUUAUUGGGUUCAAUAUUGCUCAAGAAGUAGGAGAAUGGACCACUACCAAUUUUUAUCCAUAUCUUCCUUCUCAUGCUUACCUUACAUGCAGGUUUUUUUUUUCUACAAGAAAUCAUGGGUUAGUAGAUGCAACCGUUAGAAGUAGUAAAGAACAAACAACAGAAAAAAAAAAUGUCAGCAUCCGACCCCCGCAACGCGGGGGUUCACCAUCUAGUUAUUAUUAAAGAACAUGUAUAUACCAGCAUAUGAUUUGUUUCGGAAUCUAUAAAUUUUACAAUUUCAAAAGAAUCUCCGUCAUUUAACA
Molecule: non-coding RNA, 2162 nt
Organism: Lactuca sativa (garden lettuce)
Lineage: Eukaryota; Viridiplantae; Streptophyta; Magnoliopsida; Asterales; Asteraceae
Source: RefSeq, a predicted model, not a curated record